Molecule: long non-coding RNA, 341 nt
Filed under: Sus scrofa (pig)
Lineage: Eukaryota; Metazoa; Chordata; Mammalia; Artiodactyla; Suidae
Description: lncRNA (ENSSSCG00050019590.1)
Source: RNAcentral
AGGAAGAUACGUCCCUCGAGGGCUUACCUCCACCCCUCAGCACUAGGAGAUGGGCCUCCCCAUUCUGUGGAUAAGGAAACCACGGCUCAGGUGAAGCUGUAAAAAGCAAAAAAAGGAGAAGAAGGAAAAGAAAAAAUGGCAUCUCAGAUGGGCCACUGGAACAUUUGGAAACGUGCAGACGGGCACUGGUGAAAUGAGCAGCACGAGAAAAGGAGUAAAGCAAAUGCUGGUGGGAGCCCAUGAGAAACAGGCUGGUCGUGAGCCCCAGAACCCCCAUGAGGAGUUAAACCAGGCCUGGCUCUGCAGCGCACACGGGAGGAGAAGAGAAAAGGAAGUGGAAG